Cygnus olor (mute swan) is the source of this 1173-nucleotide long non-coding RNA. RefSeq lists it as uncharacterized. Lineage: Eukaryota; Metazoa; Chordata; Aves; Anseriformes; Anatidae. The transcript has 2 exons. The record is from RefSeq and is a predicted model, not a curated record.
GUGGCUCCGGUGGGCAGCUGCUCUUCCCACGUUUUGUCCCCGUGGACAGGCAUUGGGCACUGGAGCUUUCACUGUGUAUUAAGAAGUUUCCGUGGGAAGAGUUGUGCACAGUAGUUCUUGUUUUGAUUACUUCUGACUUGCUGUAUAAGGUCUUGCUUGCAGUUCAAAGGGCAGGAAACUCAAUAAUUUAACAUCAAUCAUGUCGUGGAAGUGCGAUGUUCUUUUUAGUUUCAAGAAUGAAUGGGAUCAGUUUAUCUUGAGUGGCAGGAAGAAGUCUAGGCCACCCAAGUGCCUUUCUUGUAAGAUGUUGCCUACUUGCUGGCGGAGCGUUGAAGUGCAGUUUGAAUUAAUGCCGACACAAAUGCAUGAGUUUUGACUUCCACAACUUUGGCAUCUUCCUUUUGAAACAUCUACGCAGAAAUACAUCUAAGCUGCUGUCUUGCACUUAGUGUUUUCUGUGAUAUUUAAGCUUUGCAUUUAAGCAAUCUGUUUCCUUUCUGCCAACAAGUGAGAGGGAAGCACUUGAGGGUUAGAUAUGUUGCUUCUCAGAUUAAAUGUAAAACUACUUGGGCCUGUGGUGGCGCUCAGAUCAGCAGCGUUCCCUGGACCAGAGGUGUCAUCCCCUGUGUUCUGGACAGAUUCCAGCUCGAGCAAUUACACUUGGCUCAGCCACUUCCAGGGGCUCUAGUAUUUGAGUCUGCUUUGCUUUUCAAACUCUUGUGUUUAAACCCCACUGCAAUUAACCAUUUUUUCCCCUUUAGUUGGCUGCCUUUAUAUGUGGAUACGGAGUAAUCAUUAUGAAUAAAUCUGUUUAUAGCAGACUUGUUAAGUGGCUGGGGUUCCUCAGUGUAAGGCUGUUUGUAACAUAUUACGUGUAUUUGUUCAUAUUGUUUCCUUCUGUAGGAUUGCAUAAGAGCACAUAUUUACAAGGAGGGCCCAUAAUAUUUAAUGUUUUUGUUUUUUUUUUUUUUUUGAAUUGACUCUAGUGUUUUAUGAAGCAUUAGAAGUAACGGGACUAUUUUGACAUCAUGCCUUUACUGACAUAGGCAGAAAGAUUAGUGUGCCUUUUGGGAGCUUGUAUUAAUUUAUAAAAUACCUAAUUAUGCUCAACUAGUCAACUCAGGACUCUGGUGUCACCUUGCUCUUUAAAUGCCAUGUUGCAUUCUCCAUAGG